AGAGUUGGCAGCUAGGGUUCCGGUUCUCCUCACGAGAAUGCUGGUCCGAGAGCAGCCGCCAGGGGAGAGCCCUGGUGCACGGCGGGAUAAAAACCCGGGAGAC
This 103-nucleotide small RNA is filed under the name Bradyrhizobium sp. ORS 285. Its description in RNAcentral is "ykkC-yxkD". It matches the Rfam family "Guanidine-I riboswitch aptamer". Rfam says of the family: This family represents a conserved RNA structure found upstream of the ykkC and yxkD genes in Bacillus subtilis and related genes in other bacteria. The function of this family is unclear although it has been suggested that it may function to switch on efflux pumps and detoxification systems in response to harmful environmental molecules. Lineage: Bacteria; Pseudomonadati; Pseudomonadota; Alphaproteobacteria; Hyphomicrobiales; Nitrobacteraceae. The record is from RNAcentral.